GACGAACGCUGGCGGCGUGCUUAACACAUGCAAGUAGAACGGAAAGGCCCUGCUUUUGUGGGGUGCUCGAGUGGCGAACGGGUGAGUAACACGUGAGUAACCUGCCCUUGACUUUGGGAUAACUUCAGGAAACUGGGGCUAAUACCGGAUAGGAGCUCCUGCUGCAUGGUGGGGGUUGGAAAGUUUCGGCGGUUGGGGAUGGACUCGCGGCUUAUCAGCUUGUUGGUGGGGUAGUGGCUUACCAAGGCUUUGACGGGUAGCCGGCCUGAGAGGGUGACCGGCCACAUUGGGACUGAGAUACGGCCCAGACGCCUACGGGAGGCAGCAGUGGGGAAUAUUGCACAAUGGGCGGAAGCCUUAUGCAGCAACGCCGCGUGCGGGAUGACGGCCUUCGGGUUGUAAACCGCGUUCGCCUGUGACGAAGCGUGAGUGACGGUAAUGUGUAAAGAAGCACCGGCUAACUACGUG
RNAcentral lists this ribosomal RNA (468 nucleotides) under uncultured bacterium. RNAcentral describes it as "partial 16S ribosomal RNA". It matches the Rfam family "Bacterial small subunit ribosomal RNA", at positions 28 to 507 of the family's 1533-position model. The record is from RNAcentral.